RNAcentral lists this ribosomal RNA (255 nucleotides) under uncultured bacterium. RNAcentral describes it as "partial 16S ribosomal RNA". It matches the Rfam family "Bacterial small subunit ribosomal RNA", at positions 524 to 776 of the family's 1533-position model. The record is from RNAcentral.
UACGGGGGGGGGCUAGCGUUGUUCGGAAUUACUGGGCGUAAAGGGCGCGUAGGCGGUCUGCUAAGUUGGAUGUGAAAACUCUGGGCUUAACCCAGAGCCUGCAUUCAAUACUGACAGGCUAGAGUUCUGGAGGGGAUAGCGGAAUUCCUGGUGUAGCGGUGAAAUGCGUAGAUAUCAGGAGGAACACCGGUGGCGAAGGCGGCUAUCUGGACAGAGUCUGACGCUGAGGCGCGAAAGCUAGGGGGAGCAAACAGG